UUUACACAUAUCUCAAAUUAUUUACAUAAAUUUCUUUACUUUCAACUUUUUCUCUCUUAAACAUUAUACAUUUCACUAGUAUUGUGGGAUCUAAUCGUUCCUUUUAAUUAAUUGGAGAUUUAAGAGACAUUCUCAGCUCAUUUUUUUUAUCAACUCAAUGGUAGAGCGCUCCCUUAAUAAGCUCAUUUUUUUUAUCAACUCAAUGGUAGAGCGCUCCCUUAAUAAUUGCAUUGUUGUGUCCGGAUUGUAAGGGCUCUCAGCCACAUGAAUAAUUCACAUUGAAGGUUAAUGGAAAAAAAAAUUGAAAUUUACAUAUAUAUACACUAACUAAAAUUAUCUAAUUACAUUAUAUAUUAAUUUGCUAAAAUAUUUACUCAUAUCUCAAAUUAUUUACAUAAAUUUCUUUACUUUCAAUUUUUUCUCUCUUAAAAAUUAUACAUCACAAUUUCAGAGUUUGGGUUAAGGGUGUUCAAAAAAAUGGAAAAAAAAAAGCUGCUGCUCCCACUAAGAAUCAAACCCAAAUUGUUGCUGCAAAUUUGCACACCCUUGACCAAUAGGCUAUGCUUCUUUAGCUUGUCAAAGGUGUUCAACAACAUGCUCAUGUAAUUGGAUAGAUUUCAAUAAAUUCUGCUCUGAAUAUUGGAAGAAGAUAGAAUAAUCUGUGGAUUUUGUGUAUUAGCUGCUUAGUGCUGCUUCAUUUUUUGUGUGAUUGACUUGCUUUCAAGAUGAUGAUGUUUGAGGAAAUGGGGUUCUGUGGCAAUCUUGAUUUCUUUCCUGAUCCGCUAAAGGAAGUGGAAGUGGAAGUGGUUGCCCCACAGAAUUAGAUUGAGCCGGAUUCUGUGGUGGAUGAUGAUUAUAGUGAUGAGGAGCUUGAUGUUGAUGAGACUAACUUUAAUGUUCAUGAUCUAUUCUAUUUGCUGAGCUUAUAUUCUAUGCUACGUACUGAUUUAUCGUAACAAAGACUGCAAGUGGGUGUUGAGGGCGUCUUCUAUGAAUGAAUCGGAAAUUAAUGCUUAUAUGAGAAGUGGGUGUUGAAGGCAUCUUAUCCUUAUUCAUACUCCUUAUACAUAUAUUGUGGGUGUGUAUAUACUAUGUAAUUU
Capsicum annuum is the source of this 1100-nucleotide long non-coding RNA. RefSeq lists it as uncharacterized. Lineage: Eukaryota; Viridiplantae; Streptophyta; Magnoliopsida; Solanales; Solanaceae. The transcript is spliced from 3 exons. The record is from RefSeq and is a predicted model, not a curated record.